CUUCCUCCUGUGCUGUGGCCCAGAUAAGUUUCCUCGAGGUUAAACUUUCGCAGGUGUUUCCUCUCCAGAUGAAGGUGUGGAAAUUCCCGUGAAUGGAACUUCUACCCUUAAUAGAAAUUCUCUGGUUUUAUUCUCUUGAAUCAUCCAAAUAUCAGGAUCAGAGAUGGCCACCACACAAAGUGACAUUCAGCUCUGAUCAACAAGCCAAAGGGAUUAAACUGACACUGGUAUGACACAUAGAGAAGCAGCAGAGAGGAAGGUCCCCUGUACCCAGCUGUGUAUCCAAGAAGAGUGAUUGAUCAAUGGAUGGCAAGAUGUACUUCGAAGAUGGACGUCGUUCUUAUGACCCAGUCCCAGAGAAGCAGCACAGACCUAUACCUGGACCUAGACCUAGACCUAAACCUAAACCUGGACCUGGCCCUGGACCUGGCCCUGG
Perca flavescens (yellow perch) is the source of this 436-nucleotide long non-coding RNA. RefSeq lists it as uncharacterized. The record is from RefSeq and is a predicted model, not a curated record. The transcript is spliced from 3 exons. NCBI's taxonomy places the organism in Eukaryota, Metazoa, Chordata, Actinopteri, Perciformes, Percidae.